RNAcentral lists this transfer RNA (61 nucleotides) under Helicella itala. RNAcentral's name for it is "tRNA-Gly". Lineage: Eukaryota; Metazoa; Mollusca; Gastropoda; Stylommatophora; Geomitridae. The record is from RNAcentral.
UUUUAGUUAGUAUAUUAGUAUAGUUACCUUCCAAGUAAAAGGUUCUCAAGAGAACUGUUAA